Molecule: signal recognition particle RNA, 298 nt
Filed under: Microcebus murinus (gray mouse lemur)
Lineage: Eukaryota; Metazoa; Chordata; Mammalia; Primates; Cheirogaleidae
Description: Metazoan signal recognition particle RNA (ENSMICG00000042085.1)
Rfam family: Metazoan signal recognition particle RNA
About the family: The signal recognition particle (SRP) is a universally conserved ribonucleoprotein.
Source: RNAcentral
UCCGGACGUGGUGGCGCGCGCCUGUAGUCCCAGCUACUCGGGAGGCUGAGACGGGAGGAUCGCUUGAGCCAGGAGCUCUGGGCUGUAGUGCGCUAUGCCGAUCGGGUGUCCGCACUAAGUUCGGCAUCAAUAUGGUGACCUCCCGGGAGCGGGGGACCACCAGGUUGCCUAAGGAGGGGUGAACCGGCCCAGGUCGGAAACGGAGCAGGUCAAAACUCCCGUGCUGAUCAGUAGUGGGAUCGCGCCUGUGAAUAGCCACUGCACUCCAGCCUGGGCAACAUAGCGAGACCCCGUCUCU